RNAcentral lists this ribosomal RNA (492 nucleotides) under Listeria monocytogenes. RNAcentral's name for it is "bacterial SSU rRNA". It matches the Rfam family "Bacterial small subunit ribosomal RNA", at positions 285 to 769 of the family's 1533-position model. Lineage: Bacteria; Bacillati; Bacillota; Bacilli; Caryophanales; Listeriaceae. The record is from RNAcentral.
AGCCGACCUGAGAGGGUGAUCGGCCACACUGGGACUGAGACACGGCCCAGACUCCUACGGGAGGCAGCAGUAGGGAAUCUUCCGCAAUGGACGAAAGUCUGACGGAGCAACGCCGCGUGUAUGAAGAAGGUUUUCGGAUCGUAAAGUACUGUUGUUAGAGAAGAACAAGGAUAAGAGUAACUGCUUGUCCCUUGACGGUAUCUAACCAGAAAGCCACGGCUAACUACGUGCCAGCAGCCGCGGUAAUACGUAGGUGGCAAGCGUUGUCCGGAUUUAUUGGGCGUAAAGCGCGCGCAGGCGGUCUUUUAAGUCUGAUGUGAAAGCCCCCGGCUUAACCGGGGAGGGUCAUUGGAAACUGGAAGACUGGAGUGCAGAAGAGGAGAGUGGAAUUCCACGUGUAGCGGUGAAAUGCGUAGAUAUGUGGAGGAACACCAGUGGCGAAGGCGACUCUCUGGUCUGUAACUGACGCUGAGGCGCGAAAGCGUGGGGAGC